This 1392-nucleotide long non-coding RNA is filed under the name Manacus vitellinus (golden-collared manakin). RNAcentral's name for it is "lncRNA (ENSMVIG00005014834.1)". Lineage: Eukaryota; Metazoa; Chordata; Aves; Passeriformes; Pipridae. The record is from RNAcentral.
AUGUCCCAUCCCUCUUUAUUCCACUCUUUCAUCACCCACCUAACCCAGCCCAGCCCUCCUUCCUGUCAUCCUCCAUCACCCUCCACCCCAUUCCUCCUUCCUGUGCUCCAUCAGCUACCACAUCCCAUCCCUUCUCCUGUGUGCCUCCUUCUAUGUCCCACCCGUCCUUCUGCUGCUCCUCCAUUGUCCACCCAUCCCUCCUUCCUGUGCUGUCACCCAGUGUGUCCCAUCCCGCCCUGCCACCCUCCUCCAUCACCCACCAGGUCCCAUCUUUCCUUUCUGUGCUCCUCCAUCAGCCACCAUGUCCUUUCCCUCCUUCCUGUUCUCCUGCAUCCUCCAUCAUGUCCUAUCCCUUCUUGUGCUCCAGUCACCUGUGACCUCCUAUCCCUCCACAUCCCACCUCUCCUUCCACACGUUCCAGAGUGUGCUAUCAGCUGUGUCCCAUCCCUCCCUGCCAUGCUAUGCUCUUCCAUUACCCACCAUGUCCCCUCCCACUCUCCCUGCAUCCUACACAUCUUCUCCCUCCUUGUUCUUCUCCACCACCCACCAUCUCCGACCCCUGCUUCCUGUGCUCCUCCAUUGCCCUCCAUAUCCACCUUCCAGUCUUCCUGUCACAUUUGCAUCCCAUCCCUCUCACCUGCCCUUCCCUCAUUCACCACACCCCAUUCCUUGUUAUCCUCAUUCACCUCCACCAUCUCCUCAUGUCUUCUCUUCCUUCUUCACCUCCACCCUGUGCUAUCCAUCCUCAUCCUGCUUUGCCUCCAGCUUUCCAUAUUCAUGUCAACAUCUCACCAUCUCUUCUUCAGCUCCCACCAUCAGUCCUCUACAUCUUACCAUCAUCUUGUCCCUGCUUAUCCUCCAUUAGCUCCCACCUCCACCCCAUGUUCAACUUCUUCCACUCUUCAUCUUCUCCACACCUUUCUUCAUUCUCUUCUAUCUCUUCCUGUCUCCUCACUCAACUUCCUCCACUUCCCCAUCCCAAAAUCCACCCUCACCCCCCACCAUUUCCCCAUCCCCUCAACUGCAUCACCCAAAUUUGCCUUCUCCUCCUCCACCCUCACAUUUCCAAUCCCCCCUUGUGCUAUUUUCCACCAUCUCCUCAUCCAUCCUACUCCAUUGCCCUCCAGUCUUUAUCUUCUUCUAUCCCUUAGAUGUCUCUUCAUCACUCCUGUCAUUUUCAUCCAUAUCCCAGUCUCCUCAUCCUUUCUCUUCUCAAUCUCCUCUCCCUCCUUUUCCUCCACCACCUGCCAUAUGUCCAGUCUCUUUAUCCUCCCCAGCCUCUCUUUUCUUCUUCAUUGUCCUUUCUACCAUCUCCCAUACCUUCUCCCUCAUCCUCCAUCUCAUACUUCUUAUUCCUCCACCUCAAUCUCUCUGAGUCUCUCCUUCCUGUGA